Molecule: ribosomal RNA, 476 nt
Filed under: uncultured bacterium
Lineage: Bacteria
Description: partial 16S ribosomal RNA
Rfam family: Bacterial small subunit ribosomal RNA
Source: RNAcentral
GAUGAACGCUGGCAGCGUGCUUAACACAUGCAAGUCGAGCGAGUGAGUCCUUCGGAACGAUCUAGCGGCGGACGGGUGAGUAACACGUGGGCAACCUGCCUCAUAGAGGGGAAUAGCCUCCCGAAAGGGAGAUUAAUACCGCAUAAAAUUAUCGAGUGGCAUCACAUGAUAAUCAAAGGAGUAAUCCGCUAUGAGAUGGGCCCGCGGCGCAUCAGCUAGUUGGUGAGGUAACGGCUCACCAAGGCGACGAUGCGUAGCCGACCUGAGAGGGUGAUCGGCCACAUUGGGACUGAGACACGGCCCAGACUCCUACGGGAGGCAGCAGUGGGGAAUAUUGCACAAUGGGGGAAACCCUGAUGCAGCAACGCCGCGUGAGUGAUGAAGGUCUUCGGAUUGUAAAGCUCUGUCUUUGGGGACGAUAAUGACGGUACCCAAGGAGGAAGCCACGGCUAACUACGUGCCAGCCGCCGCAGUAA